This 571-nucleotide ribosomal RNA is filed under the name Moina micrura. RNAcentral describes it as "partial 12S ribosomal RNA". The record is from RNAcentral. Lineage: Eukaryota; Metazoa; Arthropoda; Branchiopoda; Diplostraca; Moinidae.
UAUGUUACGACUUAUCUCCUCUUAGGAGGAGAGUGACGGGCGAUAUGUGCAUAUUUUAUUGCCUCAUUCAAUUUUACAUUCUUAGAAAAAUUUACUAAUAAAUCCACCUUCAAAUAUUUAUUCCAAAUACAAUCCGUUUAAUUAAAUAUUAAUGUAGCUCAUCUCCACUUUUUUAUUAGUUGCACCUUGACCUGAAGUUAUAAAAUUAUUUUUUAUGAAAACAUUCUUAUAAAGUAAUCUGACAACGGAGGUAUACAAACUUUACAAAAAAAAGAAAGAUUUAACGAGGAUUAUCGAUUACGGGACAAGCUCCUCUAUUAGGAUAAAAUACCGCCAAAAUCUUUGGGUUUGAAGAAUAUACUUUUACUACCCUAGUUACUUAAUUACUCAGAAUAACAGGGUAUCUAAUCCUGGUUUAUAAUUUGAGGUUUUAAGAUCUAAAAGUUUUACAUACAAUAACCUAUAAUAAUUUUAUAGAUUUCACUCAAAAAAUUAUUCUAAACUAUUAUACCAUAAAACAUAAAAUUAUCUUAAUUUAACUUUAAAUUUUACUUAGGUUCUUCGUCUAACC